UACGUAGGUGGCAAGCGUUGUCCGGAUUUACUGGGCGUAAAGGGCGCGUAGGCGGUCCGACAAGUCAGGGGUGAAAUCCUGCAGCUUAACUGCAGAAGUGCCUUUGAUACUGUCGGUCUGGAGGGAGAUAGGGGUGUGCGGAACUCACAGUGGAGCGGUGAAAUGCGUUGAUAUUGUGAGGAACGCCGGAGGCGAAAGCGGCGCACUGGAUCUCUUCUGACGCUGAGGCGCGAAAGCUAGGGGAGCAAACGGG
RNAcentral lists this ribosomal RNA (253 nucleotides) under uncultured bacterium. RNAcentral's name for it is "partial 16S ribosomal RNA". It matches the Rfam family "Bacterial small subunit ribosomal RNA", at positions 524 to 776 of the family's 1533-position model. The record is from RNAcentral.